Molecule: long non-coding RNA, 2171 nt
Organism: Sapajus apella (tufted capuchin)
Lineage: Eukaryota; Metazoa; Chordata; Mammalia; Primates; Cebidae
Exons: 8
Source: RefSeq, a predicted model, not a curated record
GCCUUAUGGGACCAAUGCUUCCAAAGUGCCUCUUGUGAAAACUGGCUUGAAACCUGGCUUUGCAGGGUUCACAGCUUUGCAGGUGAGCAAGGAAUGUCAUUUCCCAGCAGGUUCUGGAAACUUAGGAUAUUUGUGGGAUCUCAAGGAAAAAGGAAUGCCUGCCAAAUCGAUAGGUACUGCAUGUGAAAUCCGAUGUGAGUUUUUGACUUGGCUUCUCAUCCUCAAGAGGCUUUGAAAAGUUCAACUUGACAUUCUUUAUGAAAACUUCCAGCAAAGCAAAUAUAAGAAAAUCGAUAUGUAGAUUGCCACUUUUACUGUACCUAUGCAAAUAACAAGCCAAAUCUCAUGAGAUUAGCCUUAAUUAGUGAUCAAGAAUAAUCUUUCUUUGAGAUUAUCUUUGAUCAAAAGGGGAGAAGUAACUGUAGAAAGAAAAUUUGUGUUUCUGUGGGAAAUUAUGGCACAUCCUUCUGGAUUAGCAGAUUCUGAUUCUGUUUAUUUUUGUUUGAGCUGUAUAAUGCCUCUUUGUAAACUGCAGGUAACUGAUAGAUAUGCAAACUUUGUAGAUAAGCUUUCUCUCUCAUUGUGGAAACUCUAGUUUGGCAUUUACCUUGCAUAGAUUGUUAACCUUGCACUGACUGUCAACCUUUACCAGAUUUUCAAUUAUUCCCGUUUCCUUCAGCAUCUGGCUACAAACUAACAGCCUUGAAAAGAAUGAUUCCAUUUUUAUUUCUACCUCUUGACUUGUAGUCACCGGGAACUAAAAUCUGCCUAGAUUCUUAUUGACGUUCUAGGUUGCCCUGUUGCUGGUCUUUACCCCCUAGGAUUUGAAGAAUCACUGCAAGUUCAAGUCUGAGGAUUUGUUAUAAGCCUAGAAGAACUUAUUAUCAUUCCAGCUAACCAUUCAUGUUCCAACUAUCUCUAUGGAUAAGCCACUCUUUGGACUACUCAGAAAGUUUGGUAAAAUGCUGAGGUCAUGCACGCCUUUAUUGGAUAAGUGACCAAUGCUGUGGAUGACAUUACCAAUAUGAUCAACAUCUUCAAAAACUCAUUUUCUUGGAAAUUCCUUCAAGAAGAUCUGCUCUGCCUAUCACCACAGACUCUAGCCUUCAGCUGGGGCAGAACCCCCUGUGCCUUACUAUUUGCCGCUUGUCAAGUCCACAAUGAUGUUGGCAAGUCAGCUCCAGGUCUGAAAUCUACUCUCUUUGUGGGAGAAUAGAUCAAAAGGGCCUUGACUGCAUGCCAAGAUUAAUUUGAAUUUUUCCUGUGAUAAGAGAUGGACGAAGAAGAGUCACUGAUGUGUUUUAAGUAUGAAUGGAGCAUAGCUCACUAUCAUUUUGGCAUCGAUGUGGAGAAUGGAUGGACAAGGGUGAUAUUAGUUAGAAGACUGUACAAGAUUCCAGUAGAGGGAUGAUGGUGGCCUUGGACUCAGAUUUAGGGUCUGGCCAAAAGGCAAGGAAGACUCCAAGGCAGCAUCAGCAAUAAUUCCUUCAGCUAAACCCACACUGGCAAGGUGCUGAUCCAGAGUAUAAUUCCCCGUGCUGAAGCUUGGUUGGACAAAACAGCUUUGGAUUCAGGACCAUUUCCCAUCAAGAAAAAUGGAGUGAACUAACCACAAUCAGCAUGUCCCACAGAAAACAAAUGCCUCUACAGCAACAGCGUUUUCAACUGGCAGGGGAACUCUUUCUAGAAGACUUUGCUUUAUUCUCAUAAGCUGACCCUGAAAAUCAAGUAUCUGGCUCCUGUUACCCCUGUGAUGGAGGAGAGCAUUCUUGGGAAUAGAUGUCAAGUGAACCAACCUAUGAGAUUUGCCUCUAUUAGGAAGACAACUACUUCAUGUCUUUGAAGUGAGAGAUCCGCAGAACUUGUUUUCUGAGCACUGGUAAUGACCUUGCUGAUCAAAAACAGGAUGCUGUAAAGAAACCUGCUGAAACCAGCAGAUGAAUUUUCAGUAUGCAGAGGAUUUGAGGAAAAAAUUAAAACAACACCAACAGCUCAGUUUCUUACUAGAGUCUGCCGAAUUAGAAUUGGAUGCAACUGUGGCCCACAGGAUAUAUGCAAUUUCAUGCUAACUAUUUGCUGGAGAGGAAGGAGGAGUCUAAUUGACAUGUAUGUUGCAUUCACUUAUUCUGAGGCAUGAAUGAUUGACAAGGCACAGUACAGAGUCCUCACAG